GACGAACGCUGGCGGCGUGGAUUAGGCAUGCAAGUCGAACGGUAGGAUACCUUUCGGGUAUCUGAGAGUGGCGAACGGGUGAGUAACACGUAGGUGAUCUACCCUCAAGAUUGGGACAACCCAGGGAAACUUGGGCUAAUACCGGAUGAAAGCAGCAGUGAUGUUGUUUGAAAGGUGGCGUAAGCUGCCGUUUGGGGAUGAGCCUGCGCUCUAUUAGUUAGUUGGCGGGGUAAAGGCCCACCAAGGCGAUGAUAGAUAGGCGGCCUUAACGGGUGGUCGCCCACACUGGGAUUGAGAUACGGCCCAGACUCCUACGGGAGGCAGCAGUCGAGAAUAGUCUACAAUGGUCGGAAGACUGAUAGUGCGACGCCGCGUGAACGAUGAAUCCCUUCGGGUGUAAAGUUCUUUUAUAUGUGAGCAGUGCUUCUUAUAUUAACAGUAUGGGGAAGAGAUAUUAGCAUAUGAAUAAGCAACGGCUAACUCCGUGCCAGCAC
RNAcentral lists this ribosomal RNA (494 nucleotides) under uncultured bacterium. RNAcentral describes it as "bacterial SSU rRNA". It matches the Rfam family "Bacterial small subunit ribosomal RNA", at positions 28 to 514 of the family's 1533-position model. The record is from RNAcentral.